GAUGAACGCUGGCGGCGUGCCUAAUACAUGCAAGUCGAGCGAACAGACGAGGAGCUUGCUCCUCUGACGUUAGCGGCGGACGGGUGAGUAACACGUGGAUAACCUACCUAUAAGACUGGGAUAACUUCGGGAAACCGGAGCUAAUACCGGAUAAUAUAUUGAACCGCAUGGUUCAAUAGUGAAAUACGGUUUUGCUGUCACUUAUAGAUGGAUCCGCGCCGCAUUAGCUAGUUGGUAAGGUAACGGCUUACCAAGGCAACGAUGCGUAGACGACCUGAGAGGGUGAUCGGCCACCCUGGAACUGAGACACGGUCCAGAGUACUACGGGAGGCAGCAGUAGGGAAUCUUCCGCAAUGGGCGAAAGCCUGACGGAGCAACGCCGCGUGAGUGAUGAAGGUCUUCGGAUCGUAAAACUCUGUUAUUAGGGAAGAACAAAUGUGUAAGUAACUAUGCACGUCUUGACGGUACCUAAUCAGAAAGCCACGGCUAACUACGUG
This 497-nucleotide ribosomal RNA is filed under the name uncultured bacterium. RNAcentral describes it as "partial 16S ribosomal RNA". It matches the Rfam family "Bacterial small subunit ribosomal RNA", at positions 28 to 507 of the family's 1533-position model. The record is from RNAcentral.